Molecule: non-coding RNA, 78 nt
Organism: Pseudovirgaria hyperparasitica
Lineage: Eukaryota; Fungi; Ascomycota; Dothideomycetes; Acrospermales; Acrospermaceae
Source: the annotation of a RefSeq genome assembly
GCAUCGAUGGUUUAGUGGUAAAAUCCGGUCUUCCCAUAGAGUUUGGCCGGGCCCCGGGUUCGAUUCCCGGUCGUUGCA